This 400-nucleotide ribosomal RNA is filed under the name uncultured bacterium. Its description in RNAcentral is "bacterial SSU rRNA". It matches the Rfam family "Bacterial small subunit ribosomal RNA", at positions 355 to 769 of the family's 1533-position model. The record is from RNAcentral.
UGAGGAAUUUUCCACAAUGGGCGAAAGCCUGAUGGAGCAAUGCCGCGUGGAGGACGAAGGCCUGUGGGUCGUAAACUCCUUUUCUCAGAGAAGAAGAUCUGACGGUAUCUGAGGAAUAAGCUCCGGCUAACUCUGUGCCAGCAGCCGCGGUAAUACAGAGGGAGCAAGCGUUAUCCGGAAUGAUUGGGCGUAAAGCGUCUGUAGGUGGUCCAAAAAGUCUACUGUCAAAUACGUUGGCUCAACCAACGGCAGGCAGUGGAGUACUGUUGGACUAGAGUGCGGUAGAGGUAGAGGGAAUCCCUAGCGUAACAGUGAAAUGUGUAGAUUUUAGGGAGAACACCAGUGGCGAAGGCGCUCUACUGGGCCGAGACUGACACUGAGAGACGAAAGCUAAGGGAGC